RNAcentral lists this ribosomal RNA (315 nucleotides) under uncultured archaeon. Its description in RNAcentral is "bacterial SSU rRNA". It matches the Rfam family "Archaeal small subunit ribosomal RNA", at positions 1029 to 1343 of the family's 1478-position model. RNAcentral also lists the same sequence under 1 other name. The record is from RNAcentral.
UUUAGUCAGGCAACGAGCGAGACCCACGCCCACAGUUGCCAGCGUACUCUCUGGAGUGACGGGUACACUGUGGGGACCGCCGCUGCUAAAGCGGAGGAAGGAAUGGGCAACGGUAGGUCAGUAUGCCCCGAAUGUCCCGGGCUACACGCGGGCUACAAUGGUUGGUACAAUGGGUAUCUACCCCGAAAGGGGAUGGAAAUCUCCUAAAGCCAAUCUUAGUUCGGAUCGAGGGCUGCAACUCGCCCUCGUGAAGCUGGAAUCCGUAGUAAUCGCGUUUCAAUAGAACGCGGUGAAUACGUCCCUGCUCCUUGCACA